GUUGGUGGGUAAUUGCGUAUGACUUAUGUCGUAUGAGGAAAGUCCAUGCUCGCACUGACUGCGAUGUCAGUAGUGUUCGUGCUAGCUGAAAAAAUAAGGCUAGGCAGCUUUUUAAGUUGACGGCCAACGAAAUACCUAAGGUUUUCUAUGGUUUAGUAGUUGCCAAGGUGCCACAGUGACGAAUCAAUUUAGAAAUGAAUUGAAUGGAACGCGGUAAACCCCACGAGCGGGCAACCCAAACUUUGGUAGGGGCGCUUGACCUAACUAAUUGAAGUGAUGGUCGGGGGGAUAUAGUAAUAUCCGAGAUAGAUGAUUACCACCGACAAUAGAUUGCCAUUCUAUUUGUUGGAACAAAACAUGGCUUAUAGCC
This 370-nucleotide RNase P RNA is filed under the name Weissella minor. Its description in RNAcentral is "RNase P RNA component class B". It matches the Rfam family "Bacterial RNase P class B". Rfam says of the family: Ribonuclease P (RNase P) is a ubiquitous endoribonuclease, found in archaea, bacteria and eukarya as well as chloroplasts and mitochondria. Lineage: Bacteria; Bacillati; Bacillota; Bacilli; Lactobacillales; Lactobacillaceae. The record is from RNAcentral.